Molecule: ribosomal RNA, 244 nt
Filed under: uncultured Actinomycetales bacterium
Lineage: Bacteria; Bacillati; Actinomycetota; Actinomycetes; Actinomycetales
Description: partial 16S ribosomal RNA
Rfam family: Bacterial small subunit ribosomal RNA
Source: RNAcentral
GCUCGAGCGGCGAACGGGUGAGCAACACGUGAGUAACCUGCCCUUGACUUUGGGAUAACUUCAGGAAACUGGGGCUAAUACCGGAUAGGAGCUCCUGCUGCAUGGUGGGGGUUGGAAAGUUUCGGCGGUUGGGGAUGGACUCGCGGCUUAUCAGCUUGUUGGUGGGGUAGUGGCUUACCAAGGCUUUGACGGGUAGCCGGCCUGAGAGGGUGACCGGCCACAUUGGGACUGAGAUACGGCCCAG